GGGUUAUAUUUGAGAGGUACAGAAAUAAAUUGGGUGAGCGUAGGAUGAAGGUGCCAAAAAGGGGAGAAGCUGUGAUGGCUUCUCAGGUUCUGCUGUGGGUGUGAUAUAUGUAUGAGAAGUUUGGGGGUGGGGGAGAUGACACUGAGUUUGAAAUGUCUAUGAGGCAUGGAGAUCAAGAGACACUGCUUAAUGGAUAAGAGAUAUGGACUGAAAACAAAGGUUUGGAUAUUAUCAACACACAUAGAUGGUAUUUGAAGCUUUUGGUGUGGAUUUGUGCAAAGUGAGUAGGAUGGUGACUGGUAAUAGGACCAGGCAUGAGGAGAUUAAUAAAGAGCAGCCACGGAGUUCCUGUCGUGGCUCAGUGGUUAACAAAUCCAACUAGGAACCAUGAAGUUGCAGGUUCAAUCUCUGGCCUUGAUCAGUUGGGUUAAGGAUCCGGCAUUGCUUUGAGCUGUGGUGAUCCCCUUGUUGCUGUGUCUCUAGUAUAGGCCAGCGGCUACAGCUCUGAUUAGACCCCUAGCCUGGGAACCUCCAUAUGCCAUGGGUGUGGCCCUAGAAAAACAGAAGAAAAAAAAAAAAAGAGCAACCAAAGAGAAGAGCAGCUAAGUGAGGCAGUGUCAUAAGCAAUGUAAGGAGAAAGGCUUUGAGAAAAUAGGAGACUGUUAAAUACUAAAAACAGUGUUUGUGGGGUUUGACAAUCAUUAGUAGCUUGGCGGCAGUUAUUGCAAGCAAGUAGUGGGUGUGUAAGUCAUGUCCAGGUGUAUUUAUGUGUGAAUGAAAUGGAGACUGCAAAUGUAGACCAUUCAAUAAACUUGGCAGUGGAAGCAUGGAAGAUUACAACUAACAUUAAAAUUAAUUAGAAAGGGACCUGCUUUUCAAAGAGAUUUGCAUUUCUUUGCCCUUUAUUCUAAAAUUGUUUUUACAUAACUAUGUCAUUUAAAAUUUUAUUUUAUUUUAUUUAUUUUAUUUUUUAGGGCCACACCUGCAGCAUGUGGAGGUUCCCAGGAAUAGGGGUCAAAUCAGAGUUGUAGCUGCUGGCCUACACCGCAGCCACAGCAACACCAGAUUUUAGCCAGGUCUGUGACCUACACCACAGCUCACGGCAAUGCUGGAUCAUUAACCCAAUGAGUGAGACCAGGGAUCGAACCUGUGUCCUUCUUGAGCAGAAUCAUGGCUCUAUAGAAAAAAUAUCUAAUUUGUAUCUAUAGCUAAAUGUAAUUCCAAUUCUAAUUAACUUUAGGAUAAUUCCUUAACAUUCUUUUUCUUCAGUGUCUGAAAUAAAAACUUCAAAAAGUUUAUAGGAUCAAGCACAUACCAUGAGAACUGCAGGGUUUGGUGAAAACUCAUAUGGUGUCCUCUACUGUCAACGUUUAUACUCCAGGGAAAUUUAUUUUAAAUUAGUUUGCUCAAAUUGAAAAAAAAGCAAAAAAAACAUGUUUUUAAAAAGCUGGAAGGAAUGAAGAUUUAUCUAGUUCUGCCUUCUGAUUUUGAAAGUAGGACAUAGGAUCAGAGAAAGUUAGCAACAGAGCAUCUUAUUCCCCCAUCCUCUGCCUUCUAUUACUAGUCCACUGUAUAGCAGUUGGGAAGCCUACAUAAAAGUGACACAAGAGCAUCCAGCCUUUGUUGCCUUGGUGCAUAUGAGAGGCUUCAGAGCACAAGGCCCAGGGCCCAUCACCCUGUUUAAGUGAAACUUUUACAUAUUCACUUAAACUUGAUAGAACUUGAUUAAGGCUGAAUUUUCAACUCACUUUGAACAUAUCAAGUCCUAGAAAAUUGAACAUAUAAUGAUAACAAAUAGUUAUCAAAAUAGUUAGAAAUGUAUGGAAAAACAUAUUCCAAUCCCUUAGUUUUAUUUAUUUAUUUAUUUUUUGUCUUUUGUCUUUUUAGGGCCACACCCACGGCAUAUGGAGGUUCCCAGGCUAGGGCUCCAAUUGGAGCUACAGCUGCUGGCCUGCACCACAGCCAUAGCAAUGCCAGAUCCGAGCCACGUCUACAACCUACACCACAGCUCAUGGCAACACUGGAUCCUUAACCCACUGAGCAAGGCCAGGGAUCGAACCCACACCCUCAUGGUUCCUAGUCGGGUUUAUUAACCACUGAGCCACUAUGGGAACUCCUUAAUCCCUUAUUUGCCAUUGAGAUCAAGAAAAAUGAAUUUUAGGACACUUAAGCGACACUCAGAAAAAUGUAUUUUGUAUGUCAAAGUAGAUAUAAUCCCCACAUAACAAAAGAAGCAAUUUUUUUAUAGAAAUACAGAGAAAUUCAUAAAAAGUAAUUGAAAAGAAAAGGAAAAUUAUUCCAAAAUAACAGUUGAAAGCAUUAUGAUAUCUCCCAGAUGUAUAAGUAGGGCAUCAGAUUUGUUAUAAGAUCAUUUCUGCUCAAGCAUUAGUCCCAAGCUUAAAAAAUGAUGAAGUUCUAGAGAUGCAUAUGGUUAUAAAAUGCUUUCAGGGCUAAAUAUGUGCACUAAAUAUAGGAGUAGGUAUUAUCAACUGAACUUUUCAGACUUAGUUUAUGGAACUUUUGUACUUACAAAAUUAGAACUAAAAUGGGAUUUAUUCAAAUUGAUCAACAGUAACAAUUUUAGUUAUACAGAAAAGUUGAAAUUUUAUAGAAACUAACAAAUCAUUUAACCUAAAGUUCUGAAUUAUGUAUUUAAAUGAGUUAACUGAAGGGAGGAAAGUGAACUUUAGUUGCCUUCCAGUUCAACUUUUGUACUGUAUUCUCCCCCACAAAAAAAGGUAAAUACAAAGUAUUUAUCCCACAACAGACAUUUAAGAAAUGAUAAUUUUUUCCCUUACUAUUCCCCCUUUUUUCAGUGAUAGGCUUAAUUACCAUUUCUGACAGCACACUGUAUAGAGGCUCAAGGGGCAAAAAGCCCUAAUAGUCUCACUGAGGUAUAAGAGACCAAAUAAUUUAAAAUGAUGUCUCUGUUGGAUGUCAGAAUUAUUCUUUGCUCCUAAGUUAAGAUUAGCCUAUUUAGAUUCAGCUGUUUCUACCAUUCAGUAUCACAUGAGUACCCUGAGUUUCUUGCUUUGAUACUUCUGAAAGAUAAGUGGAAAACUUCAUGUUGAUUUAACUAAAAGUCAAAAUUAAUAAAGCAUUUUUAAAUUUUAUAAUCAAAUUAGGAACACUUUUCUCAUUAUGACUUUGUCUUCCAUUUCAUCCUUCAAAGUUAAAACAAAAGAAACAGGAUAUUGUUAUUUUUCUUAUAUGGAUUGUAAUAGAUAUAAACUUUUACCUGUUAGCUGGGAAUGAGUCAAUGGAACUGUACUAUUCUUGUAAUGUGAGAGUCACUUCAUUCCAUUGUUAAAUUACAUGUUGAAUUCCCUCAAAUUAUCCUGUCAAUUUACUCUCCAUAUGCAAUAAUUAUUCAAAAGCAUUGUUCUUGAUUUUUCAUUUAACAAAAAGAUGUACAGAUCAACUGCAAUAAUAAAUGUGUGAAAUGUCCAGGAAAGUUUUGUGGGGAAAAAAGUAACAAAGGAUGGAUUUCUGUGCAAAAAAAUUAUAUAUUAAGGCAUCAAAAUCAGAAGAAAUAGUUAGAUUAAUAGAACAGAAGAGAAAGUGUAGAAUCAGACCCAUGGACACAUAAGAAUAUACUAUGUAAAGAGCAUGAUAACAAUAGCAGUGUGAAAACAAGCUGUCUUUUGAAAAAAUAAAAUGUGAAUUAAGAUUUGAAGUGGAAAAACUUGAAUUACAAGGUGCUAUCCCAAGAAAUUAACAAGCAGUGAUAAAUUUUUAAUUUCUAAAAAUAAUCCAACCCUAAUUCCACCUCCCUAAAAUGUUUAAUUUGUUAUCCUAUACAUAUUGCUUAAUGCAGAAAUGUAUGUUCAUUAUGUUUUAUAUCCCACUUUAUUUAAUGUUAUUUUUUUUUUAGACCUAGUUAGUAGUUUUGGUUAUUUUAACUAUUAUUUUAACAUUCGUAAUAUUUUGUUUGUUUGCUUUUUAUGGCUGUGCUCAUGGCACAUGGAGGUUCCCAGCAAGGGGUCGAAUCAGAGCUACAGCUGCUGGCCAACAGCACAGCAACAUCAGAUCUGAGCUGCGUCUUCGACCUACACCACAGCUUAUGGCAACAUGGGAUCCUUAGCCCACUGGGGGAGACCAGGGAUCGAACCCUCAUAUUCAUGAUUCUUUUCCAUUGCACCACGACGGGAACUCCUAACACUCAUAUCUUUUUAACAGGUAUAUAUAAUUCAUAGCUAACAGUUUAGUGUAAAGCCUUUUGGAGUUUUUUCUCUUUAUAUACAAAUAUGUACAUAAUAUGUUUGUAUGUGUUUAUCUAACUGAUGAAAAAGUGGAGACAUACCUAAUAAACUAUAACUAUCCUUAAUGUUUUUUCUCUAUGCAAUAUAUUUUGGAAACAAGAUGACCUGUACAAUCAUACUGUCUCAUUUUGAAGUUAAAAACAAAAAGGCCUGCUGUGGUUCUAUUUGGAGGCCAAACUGUAGAGAAAUCAUCAUUUUCUAAAUUAAUUUCUAGGUUACAUUUAAAAACCUUUCUACUUGUCUAUUUUAAAUAUUUCAUAUUUUUAUUUUUAUUCAAGAUUCUAUUUUGAAUGACUAAUUUAUGCCAUUUUCAUGUUUUGUAGUCAUUUUACUUUGUAAUUUAAAAAUUUAUAGUUCUCCCUUUUCCUUUUUCCAUUGUGAUGUUACCUAUAUGAUGUGCAUUCUAUUUACAUUAAUAUUUUAAUAAAGUUU
This 4694-nucleotide long non-coding RNA is filed under the name Sus scrofa (pig). RNAcentral describes it as "lncRNA (ENSSSCG00000056523.1)". Lineage: Eukaryota; Metazoa; Chordata; Mammalia; Artiodactyla; Suidae. The record is from RNAcentral.